Molecule: transfer RNA, 76 nt
Filed under: Nitrospinaceae bacterium
Lineage: Bacteria; Pseudomonadati; Nitrospinota; Nitrospinia; Nitrospinales; Nitrospinaceae
Description: tRNA-OTHER
Source: RNAcentral
GGGAAAUUACUCCCGGCAGGUUUCUAGUCUACUCUUAAUCAGUAGGUCCUCGGUUCGAUCCCGAGACGGCCUACCA